Humulus lupulus (European hop) is the source of this 703-nucleotide long non-coding RNA. RefSeq lists it as uncharacterized. The record is from RefSeq and is a predicted model, not a curated record. Lineage: Eukaryota; Viridiplantae; Streptophyta; Magnoliopsida; Rosales; Cannabaceae. The transcript has 4 exons.
GUCUACUCUUUCACACGCACUUCACUCACUCCUCUUGUUCCAAAAUUGAAUCUUUGAAAAAACCCAGAACUCGGAUUAAUCAAAUGAGGCUUAGAAUCAUCAUCACCAUCGCCAUGAACUGAGGAAGUUUUAUGGUUCAAGCAAAAUGCCAAUGGAUUCUUUGCUUCUGGGCUCCUUUACCACUCCUUCUAUAUAUUAGCAAAAGGUAUUGGGACACACAAUUUUGGUUUCAAUACUUUGGACUAAUGCCAAGUUAGUUGAUUUGAGCAGCAAAGCUGCAAUAACAUCUUUUUACAUCUUCAUAUGGAAGGUAUUGGGACACAAUUUUGGCUUCAAUACUUUGGACUAAUGCUAAGUCACUUGAUUUGAGUAGCAAAGUUGCAAUAACGUCUUUUUACAUGUUCAUAUGGAAGCCUCCUUCCAUCGGAUUGUCAGAUUUCUGCCUUCACGUCAGAUCCAAGUGUUGUCGAACCUCUGCAGUCCUUAGAUCCAGAUCUCCUUCUGACAACGAUUUCACUACAGGAUUCGACUUUGGCCUGAUCUCCUUCCACCAGUUUGUCUCGCACCGACGACUUCAGCUAUGUGACUUUGCAAUGCACCCCUCCGACAACAACACCUGAAGAAGAUGAAGCAAUACAGGAGACCAAGGAUUCAACUUGGGUUACUUUGUUUAAUUAUUUUUUAUUUUAAAAUGAAUUUAUAU